RNAcentral lists this ribosomal RNA (253 nucleotides) under uncultured bacterium. RNAcentral's name for it is "partial 16S ribosomal RNA". It matches the Rfam family "Bacterial small subunit ribosomal RNA", at positions 524 to 776 of the family's 1533-position model. The record is from RNAcentral.
UACGUAGGGUGCAAGCGUUAAUCGGAAUUACUGAGCGUAAAGCGUGCGCAGGCGGCUUUGCAAGACAGAUGUGAAAUCCCCGGGCUUAACCUGGGAACUGCAUUUGUGACUGCAUGGCUAGAGUGCGGCAGAGGGGGAUGGAAUUCCGCGUGUAGCAGUGAAAUGCGUAGAUAUGCGGAGGAACACCGAUGGCGAAGGCAAUCCCCUGGGCCUGCACUGACGCUCAUGCACGAAAGCGUGGGGAGCAAACAGG